Molecule: ribosomal RNA, 2915 nt
Filed under: bioreactor sludge metagenome
Description: bacterial LSU rRNA
Rfam family: Bacterial large subunit ribosomal RNA
Source: RNAcentral
AAUAACGCAUACAGUGAAUGCCUUGCUUUUCGUCUCCGAAGAAGGACGUACAUAGCCACGAUAGUCGCCGGUUAGCUGCUACGAAGCUUUGACCCGACGGUGUCCGAAUGGGGAAACCCUCUCAGCUUUGCUGGGAACCUUGAAGCCAAAAUGUUAACGCAAGUUAAUGUAUAACUUUAUGAGUGGAAACCACCCGAACUGAAACAUCUAAGUAGGGUGAGGAAUAUAAAUCAAUUGAGAUUGCCUUAGUAGCGGCGAGCGAAACGGCAACAGCCUAAACUUUUUUCGUACUUGUACGAGAAAAGGGUUGCAGGAGUCCAAUGUGGGAUUGAUAUUUGAUAGCAGAAUGGUCUGGAAUGGCCAAUCAAAGAGCGUGAAAAUCGCGUACGCAAAAUCAAAUGUCACUCUAGGACCACCUAAGUACUACGGGGCACAUACCCUGUGGGAAUCUGGGGGAACCAUCCUCCAAGGCUAAAUAAGACGAAAGAGCGAUAGUGAACUAGUACCGUGAGGGAAAGGUGAAAAGCUGGGUGAGACACCCGAUGAAAUAGUACCUGAAACUGUUUGCGAACGAACCGUGAGAGUACCCGUAAGGGUAUGAUCGCGUGCCUAUUGAAGAAUGAGCCGGCGAGUUGUCGUUUGGUGCAGCCUAAGUCCAUUGAUUGGACGUAAGCGUAGUGAAAGCGAGCGUUAAUAGCGCGUUAGUACCACACGGCAGACCCGAAACUGGGUGAGCUAACCAUGAGCAGGGUGAGUAUCACAGAAAUGUGAUAGGAGGCCCGAACCCGUUGUCGUUGCAAUGACUUGGGAUGACUUGUGGUUAGAGGCAAUAUACUUAUCGAACCCAGAGAUAGCUGGUUCUCCCCGAAAGGUCUAUGGGGACCGUGGUCCGUAACGUUCUGUUGGUUGUAGAGCACUGGCUGGGUUGGAGAGGGUAACUGAUUCAACUCAAUCAAACUCCGAAUACUAGCGUGAAUUAUCGAACUAAAAAGCCGCAUCGGGCUAAGCUGAUGCGACGAAAGGGAAACAACCCUUGACUCUCAGUUAAGGCCUCUAAAUCGUAACUAAGUUUGAAAGGAAGUCCUUUCUCUCAGACAGCCAGGAGGUUGGCUCAGAAGCAGCCACCCUUUAAAGAUAGCGUAACAGCUCACUGGUCGAUGAGAGGGGGCGCCUAAGAUUUAUCGAGGAUAAGUUACGUGCCGAAGCUAGAGAUUUUACAUCCAAUUUAUUGGGUGUGGAGUGGUAGGGGAGCGUUCCAACCGCAGUGAAGGUGAACCGGAAGGUUUGCUGGAGCGGUUGGGAGUGAGAAUGUCGGCUUGAGUAGCGCACAAGAAAGGUGAGAAUCCUUUCCGUUGAAUGUCCAAGGUUUCCACUGCAAGAUUCGUUCUCAGUGGGUUAAUCGGUACCUAAGGCGAGGCCAAAUGGCGUAGUCGAUGGAUAAUUGGUCAAAAUUCCAAUAUUUAUACUAAAUCGUUAUUAACUAGGGAUUGACUGAACAGGAGUUUGGGAGCUCUUUAUUGAAUUAGAGUGCAGAAGCUGAAGCAGUUCUGGCUGGAAAAUCCGUCAGAAUGUUUAACUAAAGUGGUGCAAAGUUCUCCGCGAGGAGGGCGAUUCCAAAAUUUUCAGUUUACGAGAAAAGAUUCGUAGUGAGAGUUAGUAUAAGCCGUACCGCAAACCGACACAGGUGGACUGGGGGAGUACCCUAAAACGAUCGAGAGACAAAUCCUCAAGGAACUCGGCAAAAAAACUACCCGUAACUUAGGAAGAUGGGUUGCCUUGGUUAAAAACAAGGCUGCAACUAAAGUUUAUUGGUCGACUGUUUAUCAAAAACACAGGCCCGUGCAAAGGCGAAAGCUGAAGUAUACGGGCUGACGCUUGUCCAGUGCCGGUAAGUUAAGAGGAGAGGUGCUAGCCGCAAGGUUAAUGCUUCGAAUUUAAGCUCCGGUGAACGGCAGCAGUAACUAUAACUGUUCUAAGGUAGCGAAGUUCCUUGCCAGGUAAGUUCUGGCCCGCAUGAAUAGCGUAACGAGCUAAUAACUGUCUUGAGGGUUUACUCGGCGAAAUAGCGAUGGCUGUGAAGACGCGGCCUACUUCUACAUGGACAAAAAGACCCCGUGGAGCUUUACUGUAGGUAGAUAUUGCUUUCAUAUUUUUUGAUUGUCUAGUAUAGGUGGGAGCCGCAAGGCAAAAAUGUAAUACCACUCGUCGGAGAAUGUGAGGCUUACUUAAUUCCGAUUAAGACUCGGAAAAGGAAAGUGUUUGCUGGGCAGUUUUACUGGGGCGGUACCCUGCUAAAUUGUAACGCAGGGACACAAAGGUUGGCUUUCUACCGAUGGAAACGGUAGUUUGAAGCGCAAAGGUUUAAGCCAGCUUGACUGUGAGGGAGAUGUCCCGAACAGGUACGAAAGUAGGUCUUAGUGAUCCUCCGAAGCACAAUGGGUGUGCUCGGAGCUUAAUGGAUAAAAGCUACCCCGGGGAUAACAGAGUAGUCGCGCCCGAGCGUCCAUAGCGACGGCGCGGUUCGCUACCUCGAUGUCGGCUCAUCACAUCCUGGCGCUGAAGAAGGUGCCAAGGGUCGGUCUGUUCGCCCGUUAAAGUGAUACGCGAGCUGGGUUCAGAACGUCGUGAGACAGUUCGGACUCUAUCCUGUAGAAGCGUCGGAAUCUUGAGGAGAGCUGGGGACAGUACGAGAGGACCUCCCUGGAGAAAUCCCUAGUGUGCCGGUUUUUGCGUCAGCAGAAACGCCGGGUAGCUACAUUUCUUUGUGAUAACCGCUGAAAGCAUCUAAGUGGGAAGCCAACUCCAAGAUUAGGAUUCCAUAUUAAAUCCCGGAAAGAAUAUCCGGUUAAUCGGCAGGCACUGGAAGUCCCGUAAGGGAUUAAGGUAACCUGUGCGAAUAGAUUGAUGCUUGCGGU